This 1865-nucleotide long non-coding RNA is filed under the name Marmota monax (woodchuck). The record is from RNAcentral. Lineage: Eukaryota; Metazoa; Chordata; Mammalia; Rodentia; Sciuridae.
GAUUGAACCCAGGGGCACUUAACCAUUCAGCCACAUCCCCAGUUCUUGUUUUUUAUUUUGAGACAGGGUCUCUUUAAGUUGCUUAGGUCUCUUUAAGUUGCCUGGCUAGUUGCUGAGGCUGGCCUUAAACUUUCAAUCCUCCUGCCUCAGCCUCCCAAGUUGCUAGGAUUACAGGUGUGCAUCACCAUGCCUAGUAGUAGGAGUAUUUUAUGAGGAAGCUAUCAUGAAUGUGAAAACAAGACAGAAACUCUAAAGAAAAAAAAAAUUAGGCUUCCAAAGAAGAAUCUGUCCAAUAAACUUUAGGAGUAUGCCUAUGUGCACGGGGGAUACAAACAUGAAUCCAGAACUCAAGAACCCAGAAUUUAAGGUGCUUAAACCAGAGAAGGCAGAGUCCUCAACCAAGGUUACCACUGCCUUCAGUGUAUCCCUCAGUACUCGAGGCUGCUGUGUACAGUUGUAUAAACCGUUGACUGCACAAGGGUGAUAACCUUAGGGUUAUUAGAGGCUGGAAUUCUUAGGGCCUAUGGAGCUGCAUACUCCCAGAAGGACCCCCUCUAAUUCUCACGCAUGAGCCAUGGGGGCUAGCCCAGACCCCAACCCCGCAGCAUCCCUAUUGCCUUGCUCUGAUCCCCUCCAAACCCCCACCCCAAGCAACCAGUGUCGUUUUAGAGACGAAAAAGUAAUGUCACCACACACACUCAUGAGCAACGGCAUCUGUAACUUGACCUUCAGCGAUCCUUUGUAGCGUUCUCCCUGCUCUUUCUCUCCCAUCCCCACCAUCUCCUUCCCCUUCGUAGUCCACAAACCACACAGUCUACACAGCACAGCUACACAGUCUAUACUGCCUCGCUUCUCUUCCUGGAGCGAGCCAUGCUCCAUCUGGUCUCUGCACAAGCUGUCUCCACCGUCUGGUCAGCUAAUACCACAAGUAUUCAGAUCCCAGUUUAGACAUUUCCUCCAAGAAACCUUCUCUGAAUCCUCCACAAGUCCUCUUUGCUGAAUCAGUUCACAUUCCUACUAGAGGCCCCUCAUGGUGGUUCCUGUGCUUUUCUAGAGCAUUUUGUCAGAGUUAUAAUGAAAUGAUUAAUAGUACAAAUAGCUUAUUAUCUCCUUCCUCCCCCAGGAAAUUAGAAGGCCCCGGAGCAUGGAGAUUAGGUCUGUUUCAUGCUGUUGAUGCUAGAUAAGCUUCUAUCUGUCCACUGACCCAUUCAUCCAUCUACUUAACCCCACUGUACAUAGUUGGUGCUGAAUAAAUGAACAAGCAUAGCUUGAUACAACAAAGGCCAGUGAGAGAUAAUGCCACUUGCUGGAGGAAGAGCAGGUACAGACAGAGAAGGCUGAAGCAGGGAGGUCUCCUGUCUCUGGGGAGUCCGGAGAGACGGGUGGAACUCCCAGGGAGCCCUGGGCCUCAGGGGCCUGCAGCAGAGGGCAACUCCCGGACACUGGGUCAUCAGGGGGAAGCCAGAGAUCUGGUCUUUCCCAGCUCCCGUGUGUCCUAGGAUGUGGGCAGCCACUGUGUCUUUGCUGGGAACAUUCCUAAGAGAUUCCCUAAUUUUCCUGACUGAGUGAACAUGAACCCUACAUGGUUCCAAAUUCCAUCCUAAAACCACAGGGCGGUUUGGGGAGCCCCAACACAGAGCCUCUGCUGCACCAGCAAUUUGGGGUCAGACUGUUCUCUUGGAUGCAGCGAACACUCUUGUGGUGCGGAGAGGGCAGGCCCAGGGGCCGUAAUGGAUACCUUCUUGAGGCCAGCCUCAAAGUGCUUUCAGCUGUGGGGUGGGGACAAACACCACUGCCCCGUGACAAGGGCUGCCCUGUGCCUGUUCAUUUAUCUGGAAUUACAGUCAGAUCUCCACGUCUAUGUG